UUAUGACUUACAACGUUCCUUUUCAGGGUCUUCUUGGUAUACAGUAAUCAAAAGUAGUCUACCAUUGCCUUCUUCCAGGGCUGCUCUGGGACUGUGCAGCUUGCCCAAGACAACACAGGCUGGCUUUUCUCCCAAGAAGCACAGUGGGAAAUCAAACUCCCAAUUUCUGGCUCUUCAGCUACAGCAAAUGAGUUUCAACUCACUGAUCUAUCGAGCCAUCUCAUUCUGCUUACUCAAGCAUAAACUCUUCUUUAACCACAGAGCAGUAAGUUCAGAAUCAAAGAGGCAAUUAAUACUGAAGCCAGCGCCUGACACUUAUGUAAGACACCUCUGCUAUGUUCCAUUAUCACAGUUUAUAGAGCAACCUGUGAACAAAGACAUUUGAAAGCCACAUCCAAACACUUUUUUCUCAAAAGAGUGAUGAUAUAGAGACAGCUGUUUGAAGAGUGGGAGGAAAAAAGAAGAAAAGUUCCAAGAGGUGAAGAA
This 486-nucleotide long non-coding RNA is filed under the name Pogona vitticeps (central bearded dragon). RNAcentral describes it as "lncRNA (ENSPVIG00000016552.1)". Lineage: Eukaryota; Metazoa; Chordata; Lepidosauria; Squamata; Agamidae. The record is from RNAcentral.